Molecule: ribosomal RNA, 905 nt
Filed under: Pleospora welwitschiae
Lineage: Eukaryota; Fungi; Ascomycota; Dothideomycetes; Pleosporales; Pleosporaceae
Description: LSU rRNA
Rfam family: Eukaryotic large subunit ribosomal RNA
Source: RNAcentral
GCAUAUCAAUAAGCGGAGGAAAAGAACCAACAGGGAUUGCCCUAGUAACGGCGAGUGAAGCGGCAACAGCUCAAAUUUGAAAUCUGGCUCUUUCAGAGUCCGAGUUGUAAUUUGCAGAGGGCGCUUUGGUGUUGGCAGCGGUCCAAGUUCUUUGGAACAGGACGUCACAGAGGGUGAGAAUCCCGUACGUGGUCGCUAGCCCUCACCGUGUAAAGCCCCUUCGACGAGUCGAGUUGUUUGGGAAUGCAGCUCUAAAUGGGAGGUAAAUUUCUUCUAAAGCUAAAUACUGGCCAGAGACCGAUAGCGCACAAGUAGAGUGAUCGAAAGAUGAAAAGCACUUUGGAAAGAGAGUUAAACAGCACGUGAAAUUGUUGAAAGGGAAGCGCUUGCAGCCAGACUUGUUUGUAGUUGCUUAUCUAGGCUUCUGCCUAGUGCACUCUUCUGCAGACAGGCCAGCAUCAGUUUGGGCGGUUGGAUAAAGGUCUCUGUCAUGUACCUCCUUUCGGGGAGGCCUUAUAGGGGAGACGACAUGCAACCAGCCUGGACUGAGGUCCGCGCAUUUGCUAGGAUGCUGGCGUAAUGGCUGUAAGCGGCCCGUCUUGAAACACGGACCAAGGAGUCUAACAUCUAUGCGAGUGUUUGGGUGUCAAGCCCAGACGCGUAAUGAAAGUGAACGGAGGUGGGAACCCUUUGGGUGCACCAUCGACCGAUCCUGAUGUCUUCGGAUGGAUUUGAGUAAGAGCAUGGCUGUUGGGACCCGAAAGAUGGUGAACUAUGCUUGAAUAGGGUGAAGCCAGAGGAAACUCUGGUGGAGGCUCGCAGCGGUUCUGACGUGCAAAUCGAUCGUCAAAUUUGGGCAUAGGGGCGAAAGACUAAUCGAACUAUCUAGUAGCUGGGUUCUGCGA